This is a long non-coding RNA of Plodia interpunctella (Indianmeal moth), 2742 nucleotides long. RefSeq lists it as uncharacterized. The transcript is spliced from 3 exons. The record is from RefSeq and is a predicted model, not a curated record. NCBI's taxonomy places the organism in Eukaryota, Metazoa, Arthropoda, Insecta, Lepidoptera, Pyralidae.
AUUUUAUAUGCUUGCAAAUCACUUGGCCCGAAAGUUAUUAUUAAAAUAAUAUACAAUUCGUUAUGUUACGGCUAUUUAUUUAUAUAUAAGUAAUGGUUAUUCAUCGUAACGUAGGUAUUUUAUUUUCUGUCCGCAAUAUGAAGUGUUUAAUUAUAUAUGUGUCACUGACUUUAGUUGCUACGGCGAGAAGUUAUUGGCCCGUGGAAGAGUGUAAUUUAAACGGGGGCCAUUGUAUGAGUACUAGAUAUUCAUACAUGUGUGAAAUCAAAAGCCAAUUGCCUUGUAGUGAUUAUGGUGAUUUUUGCUGUCUAAGAGAGGCACCAACAGAAUGCACAAGAAACGGUGGCGGUUGUUUCAUUCCAUCCCCAGUGAAUUUGGACAACUGUCAAAUUAAAAGACCAUAUUCCUGUAGUAACAUACAAGGAGAGCCAAGAACAUUUUGCUGUUUGCAAAUGGGGGUAAUACCUCUAGGUGGCAUGAAAACUUUUGUGUAAUGGAAUAAUGACUUCGAAUUGCUUCUAAACAUGCGACAAGAUAGCUAAGGUGAAUUUCAAAAUGGACGCGCUUUGUGAAAUACCCAUGGAUUUAGUAAGUACUUCGUACAACAUCAUCUACUAAUUCCAUGAAAAUACCCCCGAAAUUAAAACCACUUGUUGUACCAAUAGCUGUUAAUUUGGCUUUUGCAAAUUGUUUUUUUGUUUUUUUUUUUUCCUUUAAACACUUUUAUAAGUUGUGAUUUUGCCCAUAAAUAUGUUGAUUCUGUAUACAUAUGUGACUGGAAUACAAUCUAGUACCUAAUUUCUCUUUAUGCCUAUACAUAAGACCUGUUUUGAUUGUAAUCUGUUUGUGUAACAAACGUGUGUGUAAUGUAUAAACUCGUUCAAUCGUUUCGUUACUACAAAAGUGUGAUUAUAUAGUUUUAAUGUAGUUUUAUAUACUGAAUACAUAACUUCUUUAAGCAACUUUGAUUCUAUGCAAAAUGAUUUUAGCUGCAAUAAUUUGUACUUUAAAUUCUAUCAUUCUGUGGUGAUAACUUUGUAUGGAUUAUAAACAAAAUAGAAUGUUCUUUUAUUUCUAUAGUUUAUUUAUAUUUAACUACAUCUCGUGUUUGUUAGCAGUUUGUACAGACGAUAAUGACUCAUUUAAAAUUGGCCAUUAUUACCAUAGCAUUAAGGUUUACGUAGUGUUACUUGAUAUGUAAUUAGUCGUGUAUACCACACAGUUCCACUAGUCAACUUUGACGUUAACUUUAAUCUGUGCACAACAACGCACAAAUCACCAUUUUAUCUAAAGCCCAAUGUUAAAUUAACGUCAAAGACGACUGGUGCAACUGAGGCUAAGAGUGGGUUUCAUUAGUCAAUUUUAACGUUAACUUUAACCCCAUUGGCCCCAUUUUCAUUUCUACGCAGAUUAAAGUUAUCGUCAAAGUUAACUGGUGCAACUGAAGCUUAAACUGUAUUCGAGUGGGUCAUUAGUGCUAGAUUUUCCCUUAAAUAGAACUUGAUUGGACACUACACUAAAUUGCAGUAAUUACAUUCGUUAAAUCUUAACCAUUGCUUUAUUUUAUGCUGUUUUGUUCCUGUUUAAGAAUAGAUUCUAAAACAGGAUAAACACGGACAGGAUAAACUAGAGUUUAUUUUAUAUAAUCCUACCAAUAUUAUAAAUGCGAAAGUUUGUGAGGAUGUGUCAAUGUAUGGAUGUUUGUUACUCUUUCACGUAAAAUCUACUCAACCGAUUAUUAUGAAAUUUGGUACACGGUUAAAAUAUAACCUGGAAUAACACAUAGGCUACUUGUAAUCCCGAAACUCCCACGGGAGCGAAGCCCCGGGGCGCAGCUAGUUACUAAUAUAUUUGGCAGCUCCAACCACGGCUAAAGUAGCGUGUGACUUUCUAGAUCUCCAACUGUCAUGACAUGAAAGAAGGUCCAUUCUGACAUGAAAGAAGACCUUUUUAAUCAAAAACAUCUUUUCAUUUCCCGUGAACUUUAUCCAAGCUUGCUAUCUUGUAUUUUGGUGUCUAUUUAUUUAUUUAUUUUUAUUUUUUUUAUUCAUAAGGCACACAAACAGACAAAAAAAGAACAUAAUUAAAAUUCUAAGUAUAAGAACUAACCUGUAAUCCACUAGAGCAUGCACAGUUGUACAGAGUAUGAAGUGCUCUAUCAAAAUUUUAUUAAUCUAGAAAUUAUACAUACAUAGGUAUAUAAAAAUAACAUACGUAUUUAAAUAUAUAUAUAUUUACCUAUUAAGUUCAUCAAGUAUGGAUAUAACAAUACAAGUUGGAAUUAAAAAUGUCCAAGAUCUCUCAAUGUGUCUCAGUUCGUCGUAAUCUCGACACAUUCUAACGAUCGGAUUGAAGAAGGAAGUGUUGUUUUUAUAAACAUUUAAACGGAAAAGGCGCGGACGUAGACGAGUUCAAUCAUUAAAAUUGAUUAAAUUCAACAGCCCAGGACAAACGAUGGACGAGUGAAUUAAUUUGUGAAGGUAAACUAAUUCUGACAAUUGCCUUUGUAACACCGAAGUAACUCACUCUAUCAUCAUACGGUGUAUUCGGUAGUGUUCGGAUUGAACCAUAUUUAAAACACAAGCGUUGGAAGAAACGUCUUUAGAUCAUAAUUCUACAUCAUUUUAUAAUUUUUAACAUUCCAAAGUAGAAAAUUAUGGCAUUUUAUAAUAAAAUGAAACAGAAUUUUGGCAGAGUAUUGUAUUAUUUGCGUAAAAAAUAAUUGUUACAAUAUUAUGGAUA